This 240-nucleotide unclassified non-coding RNA is filed under the name Hevea brasiliensis (rubber tree). Lineage: Eukaryota; Viridiplantae; Streptophyta; Magnoliopsida; Malpighiales; Euphorbiaceae. The record is from RNAcentral.
GUUUUAUCUGAAGACAUUUAUUAAUUCUGCCUGUGCCCACUUCUUAGGAAGUUGCUUCUAAAGAAUUGGCGCUUGCUAGGUUGCAUUUUUUGACUUUCAAUUCACAUUCUUUUUUCUAGGAAAUGUGCUGAUUACUUUGAUGAAUCAUGUUCAAUUCAAGUGCCAACUUCUCAGAAAAUAUGUUUACAAUAUGAUACUAAUUUAUCACUCCUUAGGUUUUUUAGGGUAUAAAGGUUAAUG